Molecule: long non-coding RNA, 2705 nt
Organism: Papaver somniferum (opium poppy)
Lineage: Eukaryota; Viridiplantae; Streptophyta; Magnoliopsida; Ranunculales; Papaveraceae
Exons: 5
Source: RefSeq, a predicted model, not a curated record
UCUUCUUCUCUCGUUCUCUGCUCCUCUCUCGUUCUCUCCUCUACCAAAAAAGAAAGUUCUCUCAUAUUCCGCUAAAUGAUCAUUGAAGCCUAAAAUCUAUACCUUUGUUUGAUUUCUGAGAAAAAAACUUUUUAGGGUUUUAGAUUAUUAGGGCUCAGACACCAAAUUCUUCUUUCUAUUUCAAUUUCAGACUCCAAAUCUCAUCUAAGGCUUCGGUUAAACUGAUUCAGAUCGAGUGUUCAUAUCAUUCUGGGUUACUAAGGGAUCUAACGGGUUCAGAUCUUAUGUGUAAAGUUAUACUAGAGGGAGGGAGAAAGGAAUUACAGAGUAAUCAUGGAUGCUGAUUUAGAGCCAUCGAUGGACGAAACCAUUUUGGUUGGUGAUGAUUUAAUGACACGACCAUCAUCACCUAUCAUACCUCCAGAAAUUGCAUCCCAUGUUCUUGAAGGUGUUGAGACUUGUGAUGGGAUUCUUAGGAAUUUCUUCUUAUGUUAUUGAUGUGAUGAUCUGUAUUCAGAGUUAUGGAGAGCUUGUGCUGGUCAUAUUGUUGCUCUCCUUGUGUUCAUUCUGUCUUUCGAUAACAUAUUUUUUCUCUCUUUUUAACAACAGAAGUUUAAGGUUUACAGGUGAACAUGGAUUUCGACUCUAUAUCUUAAGUUUUUCCUGUCAUGCUGGAAACUCCUAAUAGUCAUAUAGAUAUUUUUGAGACUAGACUAAAUGUUAUGUUGUUGAGAGGAAAACUAAGGUUCCCUAUAAUAAAAGAGUGGAGAUGUGGAUGGUAAAUCUUCAUUUAUCUCUUUAUUGGUAUUUGCAAAAAAUUAAUAGCUUAGUAGAUACAUCAUACAUGUGUGGUUGCCCUAGCUGGUGAACUACAAUAAUUUAUUAGGUUGAUUUGAUGUCAAAUAUUUCGGAUAUUUCAGUAAUCUUUCUGUGCAGUCUUUGUUCAUGUGAUAUUAGUAGACACGUGUGGUUACACUAGCUGGUGAACUACAAUCGUGUACCUUUCGGUAAUCUUUCUGUGCAGUCUUCGUUCAUGUGAUAUUAGUAGAUACAUGUAUCAGCCUUUACACUGAAAUUGUUGUUACUGUUCUUGUAUUUAUGCAAUUUAGGAGAUUUUUCAAGAUUGGGAUUGAUUGUCAUCUUUUUUCAGUACGAGUCCUGUAUAGCAAUCCCAACGUCACUUCCAACAUCUUGACAUGUAACUCGAGAUUGGAGUUGUCGUAUUUCCUCCUUUUGUGAUAUAAUGUGAUAUGCUCCCCUAUAGAGAUGCAGAUAAAAUGCAGCUAAUUGUAUGAAGCCAAGCCUUAUUUUUUUGACAUCAACAUAGUUGUGUUUCUCAAUAUGCAUACACCUUUAUUGUUCAAUUUGGACAGAUAUCAUCCAAAGAAAAUAAGCACAAGAAGGAAGUUAUGUUACUUGAUGUCAAUCGUAAACAUUCUGAUUACACCUCCUUUAAACCAGAGAAGCUGCAACCUCAGAUGGCUGCUGAUAACAGUGUUUCUGUAGCUUCUGAAGGCCAGCCACAGAGACCAACUCUUGAGGUGGUGGAGAUCUACAAAUCAUCCGUUUCUGUGAAUCCUAUCUUAGGUGCUUUGGGAGUUGAUACAUGAAGAUAUUUUAGUGCAUCUGAGGUAACUGGUAUUGUUUCUAGUUAUGUUGAAUAUUCAGAAUUUGGUAAAAACAAAGCCAUUGUGGUUUUGGAUGCAACUCUAUGUGAUGCUCUCUUCAAGGGAACAAUAAAGAAGGGCUCAACAUAUCCAACUGAGAUUCAUAAAAAGGAUUUAGGAGCUGAUUUUCUGAGUCGAAUGCAGCCUCACCACAGAGUAACGAGAGGAGGCGAGUCUGCUGUGCGAAAAGGUUCUCUUAAAACAGUUCAGAUAGUAACUGAACGUAGCAAGGAAACAAAAAAUUAACAAGAGUGUUUGGAUUGGAUUCGUUCUUGCUAGAUGCCGAAGUAUUGGCUUCUGAGCUACAGAAGAAGUUUGCAUGCAGUACAACAGUGGCAUAGCUUCCAGGUAAGACAGUUUAGUUAUAACUUAUUUUUAAUUUUUAAUAUGUAAUUGUGCAUCUUCGUUAUCAACACGUCACAGUUGGUAUUAUCUCUUUACCUGCACCAAUCAACAAGUUGAGUUAGCUUUUGCUGGAGCCAUUAGAGAUUGGUGGUUACUGUUUCUACAUCCUCGUAACCGAGUAAGGAAAAUUAGAAGAUUAUACAAAAGAUCAGUUAGCAGAACUUACUAUAUACCCUGUUGAGGACCUAUUUUAGGACACAUUGAUCGAUUGAUGACAUGAAAGAAUGAAACUAACACUGACUAAUCUGAUAUUUUGAGGAGUUCAUCCAUAUUGGAUUAGUAUGACAUUGACACGAGAUAGUCUUAGGAUCCUGGUCAAGGAGAGUAUGUUUGCUUACAACAAAGCACUUACUUAAACUUAUCUUGUUUUUCUUGUCUUCAUUAACAAAGUUAAUUAAGAUCAAUUACUAAUGUAUUGCUUUUCUUGUGUUUACAUGGAAGUAUACUCGACAAAUAGCUGGCCAUCUCUCAUGGUCAAUACUUCUACAAGUCCUUCCAGUCCAGGUUCACCAAUGAUUCCAUGUUUUAUUUUGAUUUAAACUGAAUUGUUUAAUUUUUGGUUGUUAUUUUUGGUAGUUUCUGUAUCAGAAUGUAUACUUUUCAGAUUUCUAUAAUAUUAUGUAAUUGUUUUCA